AGAAAGAAAACGACUGGAAGCCAAGCAACGGGAAGAUAUCUGGGAAGGCAGAGACCAAUCUGUGGUUUGAACAUCACUUACUCAAAGGAAUGAAUCCAUGGAUUAGGAUGUGUUUGAUAUUCUUGAGACAAGAGGAUCUUUCCAGAGCUGUGCACAUGCAGAUGAGCAUGUUAAAGAAAACGGGAACAAGACAGAAGACUGGAGGGCUUAGAGAGAACGAGCAGUCCAGUCCUCACUCCUGAAUUCAGACCUGUCCACUGGAGUAGAGAUGUUAACAGGCACUGUCGGAGGAAGGAAAAUGGAAGAAGUGGCUUUCUAAGAGUCCUGUGUGGAGCAGGCCAUGUUAGUGUGGGUCCCGCCUCCAGGAAGUCUGAAGCAAAUGUAAAGCAAAACAGAGGAUUCGAGCCUGCAGUGACAGGAGUUGGAGGUCCAUGGCAGGGUGUUCCUCAGUACUUCAGAGUUGAGCACUGCAGAAUUAGGACAGUAAGGGGAAGUGGAAGCAACUCCCAGACACGAGUGCCUGGUGCACCGGGCACGGGCAGAGACUACACUGCUGGCUGCAGAACUCCAAAGCCACUGACCCUUCGGCACAUCGUGGGCAUUCGGACUCCUGAGUUUGUACUAAGCUUGGUGUCUGGCACUGUUCCAGCUACACGGCAGCCAGGGGUCUGCCACCUACCUUCCUCAUGAAGACCAGUCCUAGGAGCUGAGUGCCAGCUCCAGUUUAAUCAGUGAUAUGUUGUGAGAGGGAGAAAUUAAAGGCUAUUUUAUAACAU
This 776-nucleotide long non-coding RNA is filed under the name Rattus norvegicus (Norway rat). Its description in RNAcentral is "long non-coding RNA NONRATT001747". The record is from RNAcentral. Lineage: Eukaryota; Metazoa; Chordata; Mammalia; Rodentia; Muridae.